AAAGGAAUUGACGGGGACCCGCACAAGCAGCGGAGCAUGUGGUUUAAUUCGAAGCAACGCGAAGAACCUUACCAGGGCUUGACAUCCUCUUGAAAGCUCGGAUAACGCCGAGCCCUCUACGGACAAGAGAGACAGGUGGUGCAUGGUUGUCGUCAGCUCGUGUCGUGAGAUGUUGGGUUAAGUCCCGCAACGAGCGCAACCCUUGUCAUUAGUUGCCAUCGGGUGAUGCCGGGCACUCUAGUGAGACCGCCGGGGACAACUCGGAGGAAGGUGGGGAUGACGUCAAAUCAUCAUGCCCCUUAUGUUCUGGGCUACACACGUGCUACAAUGGUCGUUACAGAGAGAAGCAAAGCCGCAAGGUAGAGCAAAUCUCUAAAGACGAUCCCAGUUCGGACUGCAGGCUGCAACUCGCCUGCACGAAGCAGGAGUUGCUAGUAAUCGCGAAUCAGAACGUCGCGGUGAAUGCGUUCCCGGGUCUUGUACACACCGCCCGU
This 494-nucleotide ribosomal RNA is filed under the name uncultured bacterium. Its description in RNAcentral is "bacterial SSU rRNA". It matches the Rfam family "Bacterial small subunit ribosomal RNA", at positions 903 to 1397 of the family's 1533-position model. The record is from RNAcentral.